Molecule: ribosomal RNA, 253 nt
Filed under: uncultured prokaryote
Description: partial 16S ribosomal RNA
Rfam family: Bacterial small subunit ribosomal RNA
Source: RNAcentral
AUACGUAGGGUGCAAGCGUUAAUCGGAAUUACUGGGCGUAAAGCGUGCGCAGGCGGUGAUGUAAGACAGAUGUGAAAUCCCCGGGCUCAACCUGGGAACUGCAUUUGUGACUGCAUCGCUGGAGUGCGGCAGAGGGGGAUGGAAUUCCGCGUGUAGCAGUGAAAUGCGUAGAUAUGCGGAGGAACACCGAUGGCGAAGGCAAUCCCCUGGGCCUGCACUGACGCUCAUGCACGAAAGCGUGGGGAGCGAACAG